Mauremys mutica (yellowpond turtle) is the source of this 304-nucleotide long non-coding RNA. RefSeq lists it as uncharacterized. NCBI's taxonomy places the organism in Eukaryota, Metazoa, Chordata, Testudines, Geoemydidae. The record is from RefSeq and is a predicted model, not a curated record. The transcript is spliced from 3 exons.
CUCUGGGCAUGCGCAGAUCGCGCCGCGCGGGGGGAGAAGGGGAGAGCUGCCGCCUCCAGGUGUGUGACUGACGUCAGGGCCCUUAUCGUACUGAGCGUGGCUCAGGCCUUGCCUGAGAUCAGGUCCGCCCGUGUGCCGGGCGCUGCACAAACCCUGACUGAGUUUGGGGCACUCAUUGUGCCAGGCCCUGCAUCAACACCAAGUGAAAUCAGGCUCCCAUUGUGCCAGGCCCCGCAGAGACCCCAAGCGAGAUCAGACCCCACUGUUAUGCCAGGUUACAGAAUAACGUCCACGUUUCGCUCCA